ACACUGUUUCUAAGCACUGUUCAUCACUGUUCACAUCGAAAUGACGGUUUUGCCCUCAUUCUAAAUUGUUUUACGGCUCUGCCAUCGUUCUGCCAGACGCUACCGUCGGUUUCUUCUUUCUUCUACAGCAGUAUAACCGUAUAACCACGAUUGCUCUCUCAAUUUGGAUCUCCGCCGUGAAUCCGACUCUCAGCUCCCCCAUAUCAAUAUCGUCGACGAACAGAAAGUGAUAGAGAUAGAUUGAGAGAGAGAGAGAGACGGAGGUUUUCUGUGUCUUUUGGGUCUUCUCACUCUUCUGCGAGAGAGGGAGAGAGAGGAAGUGAAGGCUAAUUCCAGGGAGAGGAAGAACAGGAAACAGGAAGAGGAAGAAGAAUUUGAUACACCAAGUUCAUGCUGGGAAUAUGUGAGAAUUGAAUUUCAGAAUUUGCUUUUUUUUUUUUCUCUGUUUGAUGAAAGCUCUGUGGGUUUUGAAGAAGAAAGAAGAACAAGAAUAUAGGAGCUUGAAAUUCUUCACUGAUUGGUAAGGUUGGUAAUUCAAUUCCAUUUGUUUCCCAUAAUUGGAAGAGCUGAAGUUAUCUGAUUGGUAAUAUAUGAAAUUAACAGUUGAAGAAGGUAGAUAACUCAGAGAAAAGGAAGAGGGGGACGGGAACAAUCGGUUUUUUUUUUUUUUUUUCAGAAUCACAGCUCUAUCUGUUUGUGGCUAUUUGUAUUUUUUUUUUCGUCGAGUUUUUGGGGUUGCUGUGUUUGCAUGGUUUUUGGGAUCAUUGAUUUUCUGAUCUAAAUGUCUGUGUUCUAGGUGUUGGUGGCUGUGAUCUUAAUUUCAGAGCCAAUUUGGACUCUAGAGCUUGGAAUAUCAUCUGGGUUUUAUCUGUUUUGAGUGUUUGAGUGUUUAAUUUUGAGAUGGGGUGUAAUGAUCUUCACAGUCUCUGCAAGCCAGAUCACCGGGACAGUUAGCAAUGAAUUUCUUGACUUCUCUGUUGUGUGCAAUGUUGGGAGCAUAUUUUCAUUAUUUGUUGACUGAUUUUGUUCCUCCCAUGUUUUUUUUUUUAUAUUAUCAUUCUGUUCAAUCUUCUUUUUCUUUAGAACAUACUCAACAUACUAAACAAAUACCCAAGCUAACAGAUGAUGCGCCCUGCUCUUGGGGUCUUCUUAUGUUUCCUGUGAUAUCAAUAAUUCAGAUGCUAAAGUGUUUAAUCCCAGAUACUUAAAGACCCAAAAAAGAAUUGAUGAUACUUCUAAUGUGUACAGAACAUUUACAUUACUUUGUAGUCAACUUUGGCCUUCACUUAUUAACAUCUAAAUUUGUUUUGUUGAUGCAGCUUUGGCAUCAUCUGUAUUUGAAGUUUGAUCAUGUGUAGCUCAUAAUUGUUGUAUCGAAUCGUAUAUCCCAGUUUCAACUGUACCAAUGAUAGCACAGUGAAACAAAUGUUCAAUUGAUAGGUCAUGCAUCGAUCUUGGGGCAAUCGAUGUGGAAAAUAUUAUGUGUUUCUUCCUACUACUAAAAUAUGCUUUUGGAUACAUGUUCAGGUGCAUCAAUACGUGAUGGAAGAGAAAUCCUUUUAAAGGAAGCUUGCUGAUCAGUAUACUGUCAUUGCAGAUUUGUAGGAGACUAUUUUGAGCUACAAAUUAAGUGCAAUCACAACAGUGAAGUGGUCUGCUCAUUAUUUUCUUUUAGUAGUAAUGAAAGUAUGAUAUGUAAGUAUAAAUAUUGACGUGAUACAAUGAAAUUCAAGAGACUCAACUAUAACGUACAAAUUUGAGACAAAAGAAAACCCGCAGCAUCGUGCGGGAGAAUAAUCUAGUUUAUUACUAGGAAACAUCAUUUAUCCUAGGCCUUGACUUAA
Molecule: long non-coding RNA, 1844 nt
Organism: Rosa rugosa (rugosa rose)
Lineage: Eukaryota; Viridiplantae; Streptophyta; Magnoliopsida; Rosales; Rosaceae
Exons: 4
Source: RefSeq, a predicted model, not a curated record